Molecule: ribosomal RNA, 440 nt
Filed under: uncultured bacterium
Lineage: Bacteria
Description: partial 16S ribosomal RNA
Rfam family: Bacterial small subunit ribosomal RNA
Source: RNAcentral
CCUACGGGAGGCAGCAGUGGGGGAUAUUGCACAAUGGGGGAAACCCUGAUGCAGCGACGCCGCGUGAGUGAAGAAGUAUUUCGGUAUGUAAAGCCCUAUCAGCAGGGAAGAAAAUGACAGUACCUGACCAAGAAGCACCGGCUAACUACGUGCCAGCAGCCGCGGUAACACGUAGGGGGCAGGCGUUAUCCGGAAUUACUGGGGGUAAAGGGAGCGUAGACGGUUAAGUAAGUCUGGAGUGAAAGGCCGGGGCCCAAACCCGGGACUGCUGUGGAAACUAUUGAACUUGAGUGCAGGAGAGGUAAGCGGAAUGCCUGGUGUAGCGGUGAAAUGCGUAGAUAUUAGGAGGAACACCGGUGGCGAAGGCAGCAUACUGGACUGUAACUGACGUUGAGGCUCGAAAGCGUGGGGAGCGAACAGGAUUAGAUACCCCUGUAGUC